CACAGAAGCGUACGGUGCUGUUCUCAAUUUUUUUUUAUUUGUGUGGCAUUAAAAACUCCUUUUAUUAUCUGACAUUGCUUUACUGAGUCCUCCGCUUUUUUUUAAUUAUCAAAAAGUGAUGACCACAAUUCCUGUUACGCGAAGGAGUUUACAGUUCAGUUGAUGUUCUUCUAAUUUCUCCUCGUCACUGCUAGCGGCAACUCAAGAUUCGGAAGACAUCAUACUACAGUCAUCAGUCAGUUUUCAUCUUGCCGCUGGGUGUCUCACUAAGAUCUCCGAGGAUACAUCCAUCGCAGAACUAAGAAUUCAUCUUUCUGUUGUAAACACGAUGUGUUUGUGAUGGACCUCAACUGGGCUAUGGAACAAAACUCAUCGUACUUACAAUUCAAAGUAGUCUUCUUCAGUGAGAUGAAACUGAACAAUCGACAUGACAAGACGGCCCGUAAUAAUUUCAUAGUUAUUUAGACCGAAGAUUUCGGCCUGGCCCAGUUCGUUCUCUGGAUGAGGAAUACGGGCCACCCGGGAAGAUACUUCAAAUGCCGCUAUAAUGGCUAUUCUAUUCAAAAUUUAUUCAAUAUCAAGCUAUUAACUGAUAAAAUAAACAAGAGAAUAUCUACAAAAGUAUAAAUCACAGCAGGGAUGAAGAAGCAGGGAGAGCUGGUCUUGCAAACUGCAUCCUUGCUGUGAAUUACCACGAAACUAAAAUUAACUUAACAUGUAUUUCAACACCUCUAUUUAACUUAAAUGUGUGAAUCUCGGGUCACCAUGAUUUAUAGUAGAGGCAAAACUUAAACAAAACAACGGCCGUGUGGUUUCCGGCAUAGAAUAGACCACCCCACCUCCCGAGGGUGUCGUAAGAGGCGACUAAGGGAAAAAUAAUCCAGCAUUAAUGGUGUAUGAUAAGUACCUUGGAUGAAAAUGGAAACGAAAUGAUGGAAUGAUGAUGAAGAUAGGAGAUGCGGAUAGAACUUAGGAAUCACGGUUUUAAUAAGAUCUUGCCGUUGAAGACCGGCUACUGAGUAGGUGAGCUUGGUGAAAUCGUAAGACUUCAGUACAGGAGCACCGAAAUUGCCUAAUGACUCCUGAAAAUUGUAACAUUCGCGCUCAAGAACGUGUGCUAAAAGUAGGAACAAUGACUUUACGGACGGUGUCAUCCAAGGAAUGUGAAAAGUGUAGUUAAGUUAAAUAAGUAAGUUAAGUAUUUUUAAAUAUUUAAUGUAUCUCUCUAAUAUUCUCUUCCCUAAAAAAACAUAAAAAAAUAAAAAAAAAGACAUAUAAAAAAUUAAAAUCACUUAAAAAAAUGUAGACUACGAUGACGUAGACAGGAUUACGUGUGGGUUUGUCAACAAAAAAAAUAUAAAAUAACAAAAAUUUACAAAAAAAAUAUAGGUAUGUGAAUUAUUUGUAAGUAAGUAUUUAUUACCUAUGCUUAGUGUAAGUUUUUAAGUUAAUUAAUCUUAGCGUUCUAAAAAGGGAAAAUUAAAAAAAAAAACAAACUAAAAAAGCAAAAAACAAAAAAAUACUAGCCUAAAUUAAGUUAAUUUGUGUCAGUAUACAAAAAAGGCCACUAGGCACCAAAAAAAAAUAAAAAUACUAAAAUAACAAAAAAUAUAUAGGUAUAUGUGUGUGAACUACAUAUAAUUAAUAUAAGUAAUUAGUGUAAGUAUUAAAGUAAAUUAAUCUUAUAGCGUUCUAAAAAUGAAAAAAAAAUACAAAACUUUAAAACCACAAAAAAAUUUAGACUAAGAUAAAUAAGUUGAUAUUAGUUAGUAAAAAAAAUAAAAUUAAAAAACUAACAAAAAAAUCGUAAGUAGUUAAAACGAUAAGAUAAAAAAAAACAAAAGCAAACUAAAAAUACAAAAAAAAAUCGCAAAUAGACUUAAAAUGCUAAUUAGUGGCUUAAAAUCGUAAAAUAGUAAUUAGGUAAUAAGUGUAAGUACCUCGAGGAAAACGAUCUACCCCAACAUUACUAAAUAUUAGAUAAUAUUAAUUCGUCGCGCCAGUUUGGGCCUUACUCGUCAUAAAUAGAUAAACUGUGUUUAGUCAACGCAACACUUCCCGAUAUUAAAUACCUCUUAGAAACAUUAAGCUAGCAUAGACACAUGCCUUUCAUUAGAUCUUAAGGUAAAGAAAAACUCCCAAACCACCGGGCAAAGUUAAGGACUUGAGAAAGUCUAACAAAUAACGUGUAUUUUUGUAAUACCUGCACUUCUCAGUUACUUUUAGUUUAGUGCAGUUGACAUCAGUAUUUAAUAUUUUUUUAAAUAUUACAUUAUUCUUAUUAACAUGCUGUCUGAGACAGUGAAGUAGUCUUUUUCGUUAACGUUACCUGGUUUGGCCUCAUUUGCUUUGUAUGUCAACGCCCGCCUGCCUUUGCUACAAAGACAUGAGUUGGGCUUUCAAAAGUGAUGUCAACAAUAUUUUUGGUCUCGUUAACAUUAAUUCAGUUUUCAAAAAGACGAUGAUCCUAGAUGUGCAGGUAUCUACAAAAUAGACCGUGUUGAAACUCAGUAUGUAGUGUAAUCCGUAGGCUAAUUACGACAUACCUCAUUUAGUGAAAAUAGUUGUAGUCAGUGAAAUAGUAUUAUUUUCAUAUUUUUUGUUGGUUUUAAUGUCAACUGUGCAAUAGAAAUGAGUUAUAAGGUCAGCACCUGCAACAUCUGCGGGAAUGCUAUCAAAUUGCCAAUUUUAGGGAAUUCUUUAUUCUCUCCUUGAACUGCAACGCAGCAGUGAUUGGCUUCACAGAUACGCUUAUUAAGUGCUUGCAUAAUGUCAGCAAUAAUUAGGUAUAAUUAUAUUUCGCCUUAGAGACGUACCGUGGCCAGUUAACAACUAAGUGACGAUUCUAGAACAGGGAACUGCUCUAUUACCUCAAAGUCCGCCAGGCCUCGGCUGUCUCAUUAUUGCAGUGACCUCAUAACACAGUGCAUUAUUCUAGUUAAAUAGAAAAGUUUAUAAGUUAAAAGAGAUACAAAUAUUUUUUUCAUUCACGAGCAAAAACCAUAACAAAGCCCAUCUAAAUAAAAAAAUGUAAAAAAAAAUAUAAUAUUAUAUAUAAAAAAAAUUACAAAAAAAUAUAAAAUGUUAAAAAAUACAAAAAAAUAUAUAAAAUCUAGAAAACGACAAAAAAACUGAAAAAAAUAUAAAAAAUAUGUUUAAACAGCCCUAGCCGUUAACACCUGGCGGGCUGCGUGUGCGCAAGAAGCGAGCACGUUUGCUAUCAGGAAAAAGUUGUAGUAGAUGGACGAGUGACGUUCGUGCGGUUUGCUAAGUACUGUCAAAUAAAGUAUAAACUAAACAUACAAAAAAAAUGUAGCUGUAAGACAAAUUAGUUAGUAAGGUUAUUGGUUAAGUACGCCUUUGAACAAAAGACCAAUAAGAUUAAAUUGGGGUUAUUGUACGAAUGGAUAAGGUGCUAACAUCAACGUAGCGAGGAAGUCGAAUGGCUGAUAACCUAGGAAUGGCAAGAACGAUGAGAAAGCUGGGGCUUGCCAACCUGCUGGUCAUAAUAAUUGGUCACAAUUCAUUUAUAACAAAAAAAGGAUUCCUUUGGCAUUAUACAAAAAAAAACAAUAGCAACAAUAAGCUAUGAUUAUUUAAAAUUUAACAUCAAAAAUACAAUUUUUUGGAUUAAUAGAAAUUUAUUAAUAAAAAACUUUUGGGAUAAACAGAAAAAAAUUGAUAUGAAAAGUUGUUGGGAAGCAAAUGUUUCGCAGCUGGAACCUCGGAUCGAGCAAUUGACGUCAAUUUAAUUUUAGAAUGGAACUUCUAUAUACCUAGAUUUGAUUAGCCCUAAGUUUAGAUAAGUAGCAGCAUAAGUAACGUAAGAGUUAGUAAUAAUUGAUACCCAUCUCGGGUCUCAGAAAAAAAUCAACAAAUUAAUCAAUUAUUAAAAAAACCCAGUGAGUGAGAUAUUUAGGCCUUUUUUGCGUAUUUUAUUUUUAACAAAAUUAAAUCAAAAUGCAUUUUAUUCUAAAUUCUACUAUCUGCCUUAUAAACAAGAAUGCCUUAUGCUCGUCAGCAGAUUAAUAAUAAGAAAAUUUUAUUUGGUAAAAGUACAGAUAAUUCAUUGUGUAACCUUUUUUUUCAAGUUGAAUGUUGUUUAUUUAAAAAAAAUGCCUUAUUACCGCAACAGAUAAGAUUAUGAAAAAUACAAAAGUAGAAUAUAAAAGCAACAGAAAGCUCAAUCAAUUACUAAAUUAUUCGUUAUAUUCACAUAUUAUAUUUUGCUAGAGUGCCUGAAUGAAGGAAAGAAAGUAGCUGUAACACUCAUAGGUAAACACGUAUAAUAGCACGGCCCGAACUGCGCGAUGAAAUAUUAAAAAUAGAUAUAAAGUAAGGUAAAACAACACGGAAACAAAAAUCAAAAACCCUGACAAAAAAAAUCUUUGGACUACAAAUAAAAAAUAAAAUAAAAUUCACUUGCAGAAGAAAACGAAUACCCGUAAAAACAACAUCACCUGCACCUAUGGCCUCCGCGUGCACCUAUUUGGAAAUGAAAAGAACGCUUUUGGUCUGACAUUAAAAAAAUACACUUUUGGUCUGAAAUGAACAUCUGCAAGUAGCACAUACUUAUAACAACUGCAAACAUGUCUCAAAAUACGUCACGACGAAGGCCGUAUAAAAAAUUCCACAAGGUGCACCAAUUCUCAUAAUUCAACGAGUCCUUUGUCCACUGCCACAUUACGGUGCACUCCAAUGUCGCUUUUGAGGAAAUAUUUCCUGACAUACACCUCACGGUUGUGGAGCGUCAUUGCAAAAGCCUUUAUUAAAGUGUAAGUACUGAGAAGUCAUCGAGAUGAACUCUCGGUCUCCAACUGUCAACUGACAGUUACCAAGAACAUCUAGACUCUCAGAUUAAUGCUUUGGUGCCUUAGCCAGCACGUGCGAUGCAGCCUGCUGACGAAACCAUGUAAUAGUAAAAAGUACCUCUAACCUAAAACCUAAUGAAAAUGAACUGUAUGAUGAUUUAGUACAACACCUAAUUAAGAAUACCACUUAAGAAUAGCGUUUAAGUCUUUUUGUAAUAAAAUUAAGUUAAGUAACUUAAGAUUCAUAUAAAAAUAAAAUAAGGUCCAGGUCUGACAACCUCACACCCUCGUUGUCACACUUGAUUUUUGUUUCGUGGUGGCCUAGCGGGUAAAGAACCGACUUCUCAAGUGAGAGCGUGAGUUCGAUUCCAGGUCAGGCAAGUACCAAUGCAACUUUUCUAAGUUUGUAUGUACUUUCUAAGUAUAUCUUGGACACCACUUACCGUGUUUCGGAUAGCACGUUAAACUGUAGGUCCCGGCUGUCAUUGAACAUCUUUGGCAGUCGUUAUGUUGUCGUUAGCAUAUAACGAUGUAUAAUUGUAGCAAUAGAUUUUUGGACUGCACAUGAAGUCCACGGUGAGUAUUCGAUGACAAGCGAAGAUAACAUCUUUUUCACUAAUGAGUUGUCAUAAGCAACAGCUCUUCAAGUGUAAAAGACCCGGCUGUCUCAGGCCCGGCUCGCAAAUGUAUGUGAAAGUCACUUUCACACUACAUUUGAAUUGUACGAUGUGCAUGCGAAAAGGCCUAACGCUACAUCUUUGACAGUCGAAACGCCCAUCUAGGUGUCUCAGUCUCAUCAAGGCUUGCAGGUCACUCAGACUUCGCGUCUGACGUUGCCACUAGCCUAACCAGAGAUUGGGCUAAGAUGAGGCGUAAACUUUUCGAUCAAAUUUCCAUUUAGUAUAUGUUGUCUAGUAACGUAAUGUUACUUAGAACAAUACUAAAUACUGUCUUUCCUUAAAUUGAGUAACUCAGGUUACUUAAAAUUAGGCUGUCGGAAGUAACAUCGUAGACGGUCAUUACGAGAUCCUCGUCUAGGUGUCUAAGUCUCAUCAAGGUUUUGUAGGUUACUCAGUCUUCGCGUCUUAUAUUACCACUAACCAGAGACUGGACUAGGAUGAGGUGUUAGCGUACCGGUAAAAUAAUAUUUAUUUAGUAAAUGUUGUUUAGUAACGUAAUGUUACUUAGAGCAAUUACUAAAUGUCGGUUUUAAUUGCAUGCCUUGGACAGCUUAUCAAGUGACUUAAAAUCCCGGCUGUUGGAAGAAACAUCGUCGGCAGUCGAUACGAGUUACCACAAACUCCAAAUUUUCGUGCACGCACGCCUCGUUGGUCUAUUUGUACCAUAGCGCGACUGCUCGAUGCACGAGGUCUCGGGUUCGAGUCCCGGGACGGGCCGAUAUUGCUAUGUCGGUCCUGCACCUGAUCUCUCUCCGGCCUUGUAGGAUUUCCGUCUCACCGGGCUUUGAGAGUGAAGGAAUAGAGAGUGCACCUGUGUCUGCGCAAACGCUUGUGCACUAUAAUAUGUCCUGCGCAGCUGGCAGUAUAUCCGCCGUGCCGAAAAAUGUCUGUAGGGAUAUGACGAAGUAUGUUUUUCGUAAUUUAUAUCACAAUGCGUAUUUAUUUUAUAUUCUAUUUCCUCAUUUUUGUCAUUGUAAUUGAAAUAAAAUGUCCGUCACUUCGUCAGUGGUUGGUAAGAUUCAGAAGUACUUAUGUCAAAUUCUAAAACACCCCAAACAUUUUGAGAAUAAAAUUAUUGUUUUAAAAAAGAAAACAAAAACUUUGAUUGUAAUAAAAUUAGAAGUUCAAACAAUUCUGUUUCUAUCAUCUCGUUUGAAAAAGAAAUAAUAUAUCAUGUGUAUGUACCUAUAUACGUAUUUAUUAUAUACCUAUUUAUUAUAUUUACCUAUCAGUAUGUAAAAUAAAAAAAUCUAUAUGUUUUUUUAUGUAAAAGUUCGUUUAUACCACUAUUUUGGGCGUUACCAAUUUUGUUCUAUAUAUAAGUUAUAUUCAUUUUGAAUUCCUAUUCCUUAACAGUUUGUAUGAUUGUAUGUUCUAAAGGUAAAUAGCCCAUUUAAUUACUCUAAUUUAAAUGUUGAAAAAACAUGUUUUUGUAUAUUAUUUACCUGUGUUGUAUAAUUUCCGCCAAACUUUUUAUCGUCUCGGAAUGAGUCGCAGAAAUCAAUUUUGAGAGAGGCUAUUACAUGCCCAUGCGCAUGCAUGGGCAUGUAAUUACUCACAUAGACCGAAAGUUAGUAGUGGACCGACAUUAAGUUUGGCGAUAACCGUGUUUAUCUUUUCGAGCUCCACUAUUGUAUUAAAUAUGUAUUAAAUAAAAAAUAUAUAUUCAA
Helicoverpa armigera (cotton bollworm) is the source of this 7161-nucleotide long non-coding RNA. RefSeq lists it as uncharacterized. Lineage: Eukaryota; Metazoa; Arthropoda; Insecta; Lepidoptera; Noctuidae. The record is from RefSeq and is a predicted model, not a curated record. The transcript is spliced from 4 exons.